GAACUCACUGAGGCAGCCUGCCAUCUAGCUUUUUCACAGCAAAAUAGGCUUGCAGACUGCAGAUGAGAGACUCGGGAGCAGAGACAAUUUUAACUUAGCCAUCCCUAAUUUAUCUCAAGCUUUUUCAAUUCAUCUUCACUGCUCUGUGCACAUGGAACACCAGAUUGUCAACCCCUGGGAACUGAAUGCAACCAGGGAUCUAGAGAGCUGUCACAUCCUGAGAAAUAUUUAAAUUGUGCUGAUUUUCUUCUGGAGUGCUGAGCAGAGGGAAUGAAACUCUCCAUCAAGUCAUAGCUUUGUGGGCAAUAGAUCAGAGGAUACUGCCAGUUUUUCUAAUGGAUUAUUGUUAUCGGGCAGGUUCUUCCUGAAGAGUCAUUUUAGUGCAGCAGCUAUAUCAUGGAUUUUUUUGUGUGACCUUGAUAACUGCUGUCAAGCCCUUCAGAUAACUGCCAGAUUUGUCAAGGUUAAAAGGAAUUUGUAUUGUGGAAUUUCUAAUCAGACAACCAACCUGUUCUUUGAUUUGAUAAGUGUAC
This 533-nucleotide long non-coding RNA is filed under the name Calidris pugnax (ruff). Its description in RNAcentral is "lncRNA (ENSCPUG00000003026.1)". The record is from RNAcentral. Lineage: Eukaryota; Metazoa; Chordata; Aves; Charadriiformes; Scolopacidae.